GCUCCGUCUAGGUUUAUAUACAACAUUUGUUUCUCGGAGAGAAGCUAUUGCAUGGAUUCCAUUCGAUUGUCGGUUUGAUCUCAUCAAACACCUCUUGUCCCAGCUAGCCAACGGUAGGGAGAGUGUGACAGCAAUGUUUAUACCUUGGAGGGGUCAUCGAUCUUCGGGAAGCUCUUGACGACCUUGAUGAUGCGUUCAGUGACCUCGCUCUUGUCCAGGAAAGAGCCCUUGGCAUCCUCCGAAGACAUCCACCGCUGCCCCCACAGGGCCUCAUGCAACGACGCCGUCGGCCUCACGGACGCCGCUGACGGGGCCGCCGCCAAGCGGAGGUGCCUCAGAAGCAGGCUCCUCGCCGCCGCCAUUCGCGCCUGGAUGAACUGGUUCUGUAGCCUCGGGAGGGGAUCGGAGGCGGCGGCUAGAGAAGGAAAUGGUUGUUGCGGCGGCGGAGCGGAGGCAGGAGAACAUGCGGGACUUUUCAGUCACUUUAGACCCUAUAUACAAGUCUAUGGGCCUAUUUAUUCUUGGCCCAGGU
RNAcentral lists this unclassified non-coding RNA (532 nucleotides) under Zea mays. RNAcentral describes it as "misc RNA Zm00001eb400860". Lineage: Eukaryota; Viridiplantae; Streptophyta; Magnoliopsida; Poales; Poaceae. The record is from RNAcentral.